CUUUUGUUUUUUACGUCCCAUGUCGGUGAAAUUGUGCAGCUCACAUUGUUCUAAGCAGGUUUUAAGUCUCAAAUUAAAAUGAAUUUUAGCAGUUUUUCACUCUGUUAACAAACAGUAUGAGUUUAACAUUAGGCUACUCCCUAAAUUCAAUAAAUUUUGUAUAGUUAGACCAGCAUGAGGUGCUUGUGAACGGUUGUUCGUGCGAUUGUGUUCUACCAAUGUUCUUCAGACUGGUUUCAAACACUGAUAGGAAAACCUGCAGCACUCAAUCGUACUAAUGUAUAAUGCAAUUCCUCGAGUGCUUCAAUUGCUGCAAGGUGCCAACAGAGAACAAUGAUGUACACACUUUGGAUUUCAGUAAUUGCGAUUUAGCAGAUGUUCCACAAACUGUAUUGCUGUACGAAAGAACUCUGGAAACACUGUUGUUGAACUCAAAUCACAUUUAUGAUCUACCCCUGCCACUGUUUCACUGCCAGUCCUCCAAGUCUUAAGUAUUAGUAAUAAUGAUCUUGCCAUCAUACCUGCUGCUAUAGGAUACUUGGUAAAUCUAAGAGAACUGGAUGUUAGCAGAAAUAGUAAGUAUUAAAUAAAUUUUAUUUAAUUUUUUAAUUUUUUUAUCUAAGUUUUAGUAUAUUUCGCACUGGUCUUUCAUUCUUGCUAAAACUUGACAACUUGCACAUCAUAAUACACAGAAUGUGCAUGCUGAAAGA
RNAcentral lists this long non-coding RNA (710 nucleotides) under Bemisia tabaci. RNAcentral describes it as "lncRNA ENSSSA3NGG003773". Lineage: Eukaryota; Metazoa; Arthropoda; Insecta; Hemiptera; Aleyrodidae. The record is from RNAcentral.